UUAGAACAGCAAGCCGCUCUUUCACAGAUCUUUAGAAGAGCUUUAAAAGAUGCCGAGCCGCUCUUUUCCAGAUGUUUAGAAGAGCUUUAAAAGAUGCCGAGCCGCUCUUUCCCAGAUCUUUAGAAGAGCUUAAAAAGACGUUUUCAUGCCAUGAUCACUGGGGCGGAAACCAUUAUGACGUUGCCUUGGACAUCAAACUAAACCAUCUCAUUCUGGCUUUUUUCUAACAUCGAAAUCUCAGAAGGCCAGGACUAAGAUGGACGCAGCCUCCACAUGCAACCUUGCAUUUGAGGAACACCCAUAGAACGGUCAACUUACCCCAUACUCUAACCUGAAUGCAGGGAUCAUAAAACUUUAUCUUUUACCUUAAUUGUUAGAUGGGUGUUGAUACCAAACUUUUUUGUCUCGUCUACCCAGGAGAAAGUCAUGGGUUCUGCUGCUGAGGUUGUCAUAAAGCAUGCUUUUUCCAUUUGUUGCAUUGGGCAAUAUUAUCAAAAGAUUCUGAAAGAAAUAAGAUAAUUUUCAAAGCAUUAACAUGAAUAUGAAAGCAUUAAGUCAUUAAUGAUCAUCUUUUAUUAUUGUUUAUUUAUAGUGUCUUUUAUUCUGCUUACCUGACUCAUGCAGAAUUCUGGCUUGAUGUUUGGUCCACCUGUUAGCUGGCUCUGGUGCUUGGUAGUCUUCUCAAACCUCUGAAUCAAGGCCACCAUGAGAGGCCUUCUGAAGACCAUCAUUACGCUUCAGAUCCAGUUGUCUUAACUAUGAGCCUACCACAAUCCCUGUGCACCAGCUAUGGAAAGUGCAGACCAAACUUCUACCUCCACCUAUAGAACUGAACUGGAGUCUGUGAACUAAUGCUGUGUUCGAGACAACUGGAACAGCAAACAAAAUCCUUUCUCUUUUUAAUGCAGCACUUAAGGAUGAACCACCCUGAUCUACUAAGAUGCACAGAUUCAACUCUGGCCCAGCAUCAUCCCCACACCUCAUCUGCCAUCAGUUUAAUUUAAUGUCUGUCAAUUGCAAAUGCUAUUUAUUUCAGUUAUAUUACAACUUAAUGUUAACUUUAAUUGAGACUAGUAUUGUGUAAAGCUGGGGUUUCCAAACUUUUCAUUUCAAAACCUAUUAGACAAGUGUAAUCUAUUCUAGACCCACUAAAAUAUUUUUACAUAUACAUUUUUUUAAUGGGGUAAAACACAUUUGUUCUCUUUCAGUGGAGUCAUUUUAUUUUCAUAAUAUUUCAUAAUGUAAAGCAGUGGUUCUUAACGUUAUUCCUCGAGGCCCACUGCUCUGCACAUUUUGUAUGUCUCUUUUAUCUGACAGACUCAGUUCAGUUCAUUGAGAUCUCUUCUAAUGAGCUGAUGAUUUGAAUCAG
Non-coding RNA from Paramisgurnus dabryanus, 1369 nucleotides. Lineage: Eukaryota; Metazoa; Chordata; Actinopteri; Cypriniformes; Cobitidae. The record is from RefSeq and is a predicted model, not a curated record.